UCCUAUUUAUGGAUUGAAAUCAGCAAUUUUUCUCAUUUUAACUUAGACAAAAUUUCCAGCUUUCUAGGUUUUUCUCUCUGGUUCUCUCUUGGCUAUGAAACAACCCUAUAAUUACACAAGGGUUCUUGGGAUUUACCUUCCUUCCAAGCUAAAGGGAUUAAGAUAUUGAGGAAAUACACAUUAAGACACUAAAAUACUAAGGAAAUCAAGAUAAGUAAUCUAAAAGUGCGGGAAGUCGAUUUGGACUGGUAUUGGAGUUUUACAACCAGGUAUGUAAGGCAUACUCUAUUUUGCACCCUUGGCGUGAAAACAGAUACUUGUUCCAUCGAGUAAGCUUCCAAGGUCAUCCAAGAACACGUGCUACAUAAUAGCACCUAUGAUAUCCUAUGUUACUAAUGAACUUAUUCCCACUCUCUAAUGUGUUAAACCACCUCGAUACAUGCUUGCUACCUAUCCUACAUACCUAUUUUCACUAGUAAAUUUCAGAAUUUCUCCGGUUACUCAAAUAAGACCCAUGUGUUAUUUUUAGCUCUUAAACACUUCAUUAGUGUGCCAACAACUCCUUACUUCAUUGUUAUUGCAUUGAUUGCCUAUUUACAUGUCUCUUAUUGAUAUAUCAUUGUUUCAAGGUACCAUAAGGUUAGGACCACCAAAGUAACAAUCUCAAAAGGCUAAUUAAACUAAGUAACGGAAAUCUAUAAAACGGGUGGCAGCUCAGAGGCAUAAGCCUAGGAUGGGCCGAUCUCGAUACUUUAUAUGUAGGUGGCAUCUCAGGGGCAUAAGCCUAGCAUGGGCCGAUCCUGAUUUAUUAUUUACCACUGAUCAGCUGGUCAUUUGUGUCAUAUAGAUUACAAAGAUAAUGAAGGAAGAAGGUAAAAGGAAGAAAGAAAUGUAAUGUACCCUGUUCCACAAGUAAAUGUAAAGGUGGUCUACUAGCACUAUUCUUAUAGUUGUUCCAUAUUUUUAUUGAGCCUUUAUGUCAUGUAUUGUUACUAUUCUGCCUUGCAUACUCAGUAUACUUUUUCGUACUAACUCCCCUUAUAGGGGGACUUAUAUUUCAUGCUACAGGCACAGGUACUUCGGCAAACACGCCUCCUCAGUAGGAUCCCAGGAUAUCCAUCUGCUAUUGGUGACCUCCAGUUUGCUUCGGGGCUUUUCGAGUCGGUUCCAUAUAUUUUUGGUAUUGUAAAAAAUUUAAUAGUAUGGCGGGGGUUUGUCCCGACCUUAGCUAAAUUUUGUGUAUCGUCUAGAGUCUUUGUAGACCAAUGUAAAGUUAAGCAUAGUAGUGUGUUAUCUUGUAGAUGUUAUGGCCCAAACGGCCAAGUCUAUUAUGUAUAUAGUUUUAGGGCUUGUCGUUUAUAUUUUUUUUAUUAAGGCAUUAUAUCAGUAUAUGGCAAAAU
This is a long non-coding RNA of Capsicum annuum, 1400 nucleotides long. RefSeq lists it as uncharacterized. The transcript has 3 exons. Lineage: Eukaryota; Viridiplantae; Streptophyta; Magnoliopsida; Solanales; Solanaceae. The record is from RefSeq and is a predicted model, not a curated record.